UACGUAGGGGGCAAGCGUUGUCCGGAAUCAUUGGGCGUAAAGCGCGUGUAGGCGGCUCGGUAAGUCUGUUCUGAAAGUCCAAGGCUCAACCUUGGGAUGCGGAUGGAUACUGCCGAGCUCGAGUCCGGAAGAGGCGAGUGGAAUUCCUGGUGUAGCGGUGAAAUGCGCAGAUAUCAGGAGGAAUACCGGUGGCGAAAGCGACUCUCUGGACGGCAACUGACGCUGAGGCACGAAAGCGUGGGGAGCAAACAGG
This 253-nucleotide ribosomal RNA is filed under the name uncultured bacterium. RNAcentral describes it as "partial 16S ribosomal RNA". It matches the Rfam family "Bacterial small subunit ribosomal RNA", at positions 524 to 776 of the family's 1533-position model. The record is from RNAcentral.